This 77-nucleotide transfer RNA is filed under the name bacterium. Its description in RNAcentral is "tRNA-Val". It matches the Rfam family "tRNA". Rfam says of the family: Transfer RNA (tRNA) molecules are approximately 80 nucleotides in length. The record is from RNAcentral. RNAcentral also lists the same sequence under 2 other names.
GGGCACAUAGCUCAGCUGGUUAGAGCGCACGGUUCACAUCCGUGAGGUCCGGGGUUCGAGUCCCUGUGUGCCCACCA